This 353-nucleotide long non-coding RNA is filed under the name Androctonus crassicauda. The record is from RNAcentral. Lineage: Eukaryota; Metazoa; Arthropoda; Arachnida; Scorpiones; Buthidae.
GAAAUAAAUCACCAUGAUUUUUAAGAAAAAAGAUGAAAAACUUAUAUUCAUUCAGAAAAUACCUAGAAUGGCUAUUUUAUAUAAAACAACAAACAUCAGAAAACAUCAUAAAAUACUGAUCUGUUGCAAUGACCUAAAUUUGACUCUUCUUCAUCUGGGCCAGGCAGUGAUGGUUUUAAAUAAAACAUGCAGUUUGUGGAUUAUCUGGUUAAUUCACAAGCCAGAUAAGCCAACUCUGGAUAAUCAGGAAUCUACUGUAUUUUGAAAACAGUGAGAUAUAUUUUGAGAGGUAAAUAAAUGAAAAUAAACUUAAAAUUCAGAAAAAGUUAUUUAAAUUUUUAAUUUAAGAGGCG